UGAGAAUGGCUUCAGGGACUCUGUUAUC
This 28-nucleotide non-coding RNA is filed under the name Macaca fascicularis (crab-eating macaque). RNAcentral also lists the same sequence under 1 other name. The record is from RNAcentral. Lineage: Eukaryota; Metazoa; Chordata; Mammalia; Primates; Cercopithecidae.